UCAGAAGUGAUCAUUACAAAUUUGC
RNAcentral lists this non-coding RNA (25 nucleotides) under Drosophila melanogaster (fruit fly). The record is from RNAcentral. Lineage: Eukaryota; Metazoa; Arthropoda; Insecta; Diptera; Drosophilidae.